GAAAAAUCCAAAUAAGGAAAAUAGGUCACUAUUAAACUGUUUAUUUAUGAAACCAUGUACACCUUUUAAGAUAAUGGUUAAUAGAAGAAUCAAAACAAUUUUAAGUACUUUUUUCUUUUGUCCGUGUUCUUGGACAUCAAUCUGAUCAGAUGAUUACUAUUGUCAGCAUAUCUAAUCUUAAGGAACCCUUAGUAUCUUCCAUUUAAUGCUGUUUCCUGAUCUGCUCCUGAAGCUUCUCCUCUCCAAGAUGUUAAUUCUUCUCUAGGCAUGAUUGGUGGCCCCUUCUCUAUUUUUUUUUUUUUUUUUGGUCACAUAUUGUUCUGCAGAAUUUUUAACAUUUUAAAUCCAACCCAUUCACUUAUCCACCUACUUACCAUCCUGAAAUUUAUUAUAUUGUCUAAUUUCAUAUUAGUUUAAUAAUUAUCCACGUGUAUAUUGUUAUGUACAUCACUAAGAUUUGAAGUCCAAGAUGACAAAACUUCUUCAAACAUUUUUUUUCUUUUACCAACACCAGCACCUUGAAUAGUGUUUGGUGUUGAUACUUAAUAUAAAUUUUUCCCAAAUGUAUUUUAAUUACACCCAACAAAAAUAUCAUAACAUUUUAUUACAUGAUAGAAAUAAAAAAGCUAAGUAGCUAAUAUUUAGUUAAUUAAAGAUGUAUUAACUAGUAGUACCAUAUUUCUAAAACAAUUUCAGUUACGAUAAUUUAUUUCAGAUAAGUGACAGUCCUCAUUUUGAAAAUAGUAGCAAGAGUCAAUGACUUUUUGCAAUUUUGACAGAUGCCUACAUCUUAGGUAUUACUUACUACAUAUUUUUAAAUACUGUUCUUAACUUCAUUAGAAAAUAUUGAAAAAUAUGGGUUAAUUUAAUUAUUUCUAAAGGUAUGCACAUCUUUUUU
This 898-nucleotide long non-coding RNA is filed under the name Marmota monax (woodchuck). The record is from RNAcentral. Lineage: Eukaryota; Metazoa; Chordata; Mammalia; Rodentia; Sciuridae.